UACGAUGUAGCUGAAAUUGGCAGCGCGCCAAACGCCAUUGGCUCCAUGUCUUGCCACUUGCCACCGGCAUCGCGCUACGGAAAGAUGUACAUGGAUCUGAGCGGCGCGCAAAUAACUAGCCUCGCUCAAAUGCCGCUGCUCCAUAGAUGGGGAUUUAGGUGAGAUGCUACCUCGAGGCAUGUAGCAUGCGGCAGGUUGUGUGAGCCACUUAAGUUCACUUUGGCGAAAGCAGAUAGCGGCUAAGUAGCGGCAAAUGCCACAAUGGUGGAGAAGAGCAGGUAGUAGUGAAGGCUGCGCAAGUCGUAGUCGAACCAAUAUCUGAUAAUAUUACCAUUCCUUAAGCGAGCCACCGCCCAUGCUAAGCAGGUUGUUUGCUGAUUAAUCGCAGGGCGAGGGGAGACGCGAUUUCGGUAUGUUCAAUGCACUGCUGGAUGCUUUUAGACAAUACUUGAAAGGCAAAGUGAUUGAAGGCAGCUGAGUGCUGAGUGCUGACGUUGAAUGUUGAAUGCGAUAUUUUCAAGUUGCUGCAACGCCGUGCAACAGCGUGCGCACCAUGCAACAAGUUCCAAUCGCUCCGUUCACGCCUUUAAGACGCGAGAUUAAUAGAUUUUGGCUGGAGAGGCAAUGGAAAUCUGCUGAAAAUAAGUUAAUAGCAAAUAUAUUCCAUUGAAAAUAAUUGUAUUCUUUUCGGCACAAAAAAGAUGGAUUUGAUUGAAGUGGCGAUAGAAUUCAGUGUAGGUUUAAAAAGGAUCUGAGGAUAUUUAUUGUUUAGAAGUGAAGUGUCAUGACACACAGAUUAGAAUCACUUUCGCAUAUUUUCAUAGACCCUUUAGGGAAAUUAGACGAAUUCAAACUAGGAGACUUCGUUAAAAGUAUUGAAUAGGGAAUCUUGUUGCUUUAGCUUUAGCGGUUAAGAAGAUAUGUACGUCGUACACGUUCCGGUCGUCCUUCGACGUCUACCACUGACGAUAACAUACAAAAGUGAAGAUAUCGUGCUCGAAAAUCAUCAUGUGAGUGUUAGAAAGAUAGCAAGUAAGCUAAACGUCGGCCGUGAAGCAGCUCUUUUGGUUUUGACCGAUAAUUUUGGCACGAGACGCGUCAAUGCUCGGCUUGUCCCAAAAGAGCUGAAUUUUGUGCAAAAAGACCAUCGUGUGCAAGGAUUUUAAGACCAAAGCCUCGUUCAAUACUAUCGAUCAACUACCGUAUUUACCGGGUUUGGCUCCAUGCUAUUAUCUUUUGUUUCCAAAACUCAAGUUAGUGGAACCCGUUUCGACUCGAUUGUAGCCGUAAAUGAAGGCGAUCUGAAGGCGAUCCCGGACAGCGCCUACAAGGCAUGUUUCGAUGAUCGGAAAAAGCUGAGGCAUAUGUAUAUCGCUUCAAAAGGAGCAUAUUUUGA
Non-coding RNA from Bactrocera oleae (olive fruit fly), 1396 nucleotides. The record is from RefSeq and is a predicted model, not a curated record. Lineage: Eukaryota; Metazoa; Arthropoda; Insecta; Diptera; Tephritidae.